ACGAACGCUGGCCGCGUGCUUAACACCUGCAAGUCGAACGAUGACGACCGAGCUUGCUCGGUCUGAUUAGUGGCGAACGGGUGAGUAACACGUGAGCAACCUGCCCUUCACUCUGGGAUCACCCCGGGAAAUCGGGGCUUAUACCGGAUAUGAGCUCCUGUCGCAUGGCGGGUGUUGGAAAGUUUUUCGGUGAAGGAUGGGCUCGCGGCCUACCAGUUUGUUGGUGAGGUAGUGGCUCACCAAGGCGAUGACGGGUAGCCGGCCUGAGAGGGCGACCGGCCACACUGGGACUGAGACACGGCCCAGACUCCUACGGGAGGCAGCAGUGGGGAAUAUUGCACAAUGGGCGAAAGCCUGAUGCAGCGACGCCGCGUGAGGGAUGACGGCCUUCGGGUUGUAAACCUCUUUCAGCAGGGAAGAAGCGAAAGUGACGGUACCUGCAGAAGAAGCGCCGGCUAACUACGUGC
Molecule: ribosomal RNA, 467 nt
Filed under: uncultured bacterium
Lineage: Bacteria
Description: partial 16S ribosomal RNA
Rfam family: Bacterial small subunit ribosomal RNA
Source: RNAcentral